UACAGAGGUCUCAAGCGUUGUUCGGAUUCAUUGGGCGUAAAGGGUGCGUAGGCGGCGCGGUAAGUCGGGUGUGAAAUCUUGGAGCUUAACUCCGAAACUGCAUUCGAUACUGCCGUGCUUGAGGACUGGAGAGGAGACUGGAAUUUACGGUGUAGCGGUGAAAUGCAUAGAUAUCGUAAGGAAGACCAGUGGCGAAGGCGGGUCUCUGGACAGUUCCUGACGCUGAGGCACGAAGGCCAGGGGAGCAAACGGG
This 253-nucleotide ribosomal RNA is filed under the name uncultured bacterium. RNAcentral describes it as "partial 16S ribosomal RNA". It matches the Rfam family "Bacterial small subunit ribosomal RNA", at positions 524 to 776 of the family's 1533-position model. The record is from RNAcentral.